GGCAGCAGAGGAAUGCAGAGCUUGUUGUGCUAUUCUGCUUCAUAAACCUGUGUCCUUGAAGUCUCCUGCAUCCCUACCCUGUCAGACUGAUUUAUGCAGUAGCCAUGUUUGUCAAAGUAUUUGGCACCAAUGACAUCAUCUCUGUUGAAAUGCUGGACAGCGUGAUGAGUCCCAGAUGUUAAUGCACGCCAAAAGUUGAGAAAGAAUGAAAUAUAAAGAUCAACUGUAACAGCUAUGGAGGUCUGUACUCAGUUUACAUCUGAUGUUCAUACAUGAAGAAUCUGGGAUUUUUUCAAGGGUUCCUAAAGCUGUUGAGACUUACAGGCAACCCUGUGGUUACUGUUAAGGCCAACAGAGCUGUACACAUCUUGCAGAAGCUGG
Zonotrichia leucophrys gambelii is the source of this 381-nucleotide long non-coding RNA. RefSeq lists it as uncharacterized. The record is from RefSeq and is a predicted model, not a curated record. Lineage: Eukaryota; Metazoa; Chordata; Aves; Passeriformes; Passerellidae. The transcript is spliced from 4 exons.